UACGUAGGGUGCGAGCGUUGUCCGGAAUUAUUGGGCGUAAAGGGCUCGUAGGCGGUUUGUCGCGUCGGGAGUGAAAACUCAGGGCUUAACCCUGAGCCUGCUUCCGAUACGGGCAGACUAGAGGUAUGCAGGGGAGAACGGAAUUCCUGGUGUAGCAGUGAAAUGCGUAGAGAUCGUAAGGAAGACCAGUGGCGAAGGCGAGUCUCUGGACAGUUACUGACGCUGAGGCACGAAGGCCAGGGGAGCAAACGGG
Molecule: ribosomal RNA, 253 nt
Filed under: uncultured bacterium
Lineage: Bacteria
Description: partial 16S ribosomal RNA
Rfam family: Bacterial small subunit ribosomal RNA
Source: RNAcentral